Molecule: ribosomal RNA, 496 nt
Filed under: uncultured bacterium
Lineage: Bacteria
Description: bacterial SSU rRNA
Rfam family: Bacterial small subunit ribosomal RNA
Source: RNAcentral
AUUGAACGCUGGCGGCAUGCUUUACACAUGCAAGUCGAACGGUAACAGGUUAAGCUGACGAGUGGCGAACGGGUGAGUAAUGCAUCGGAACGUGCCCAGUCGUGGGGGAUAACGCAGCGAAAGCUGUGCUAAUACCGCAUACGAUCUAUGGAUGAAAGCGGGGGACCGAAAGGCCUCGCGCGAUUGGAGCGGCCGAUGUCAGAUUAGGUAGUUGGUGGGGUAAAGGCUCACCAAGCCGACGAUCUGUAGCUGGUCUGAGAGGAUGGCCAGCCACACGGGGACUGAGACACGGCCCAGACUUCUACGGAAGGCAGCAGUGGGGAAUUUUGGACAAUGGGCGCAAGCCUGAUCCAGCAAUGCCGCGUGCAGGAAGAAGGCCUUCGGGUUGUAAACUGCUUUUGUACGGAACGAAACGGCUCUGGUUAAUACCUGGGGCUAAUGACGGUACCGUAAGAAUAAGCACCGGCUAACUACGUGCCAGCCGCCGCCGUAACAC